UCUGCGCACUCCAACGUAUUUACGAGACUCAAGACUCAAGACUCAAGACUCGCCCAAUAACCCUGAUUUCAAAAACGUGAAAGUCAAGUUACUCAAAUUCCAACUUCGCUCACACUCCGCUGUGGUUUGUAAGCGCCUUCUUCCGGCACACCAUUUGCACCCUUCAAUUUUUUCGUCAUCGUUUCAGUCUCCAAAACAGAAUGUUGUGAAACAAGAAACAAGGUUUUAGAGAAAUUGGAGAUGAAGGGAGCAAGGAAUAUCAGAUUCAGGCCCUUCAAUAGCUGAAUGGAUCAAUUUAGCAAAACGAGUCAUAGCUGUUGAUUGAGCUGAUCCAAAUAAGAUAUUUAGUAGUGAUACUAAUGAUACUUAUGCAUCAGAGAAAGAAUACCUGUCACCAAAUUCUCCAGCACACGUCUUAUUGGAAGCAUUCUUGGAAUCACACAAUUCUAGGCUAAAUCCAAUGGUAAUCAGCAUGUGUUCAUCAACUUUAAGUGGCACCGGAACCCAGUGUGGGGCCCCCACCUUGCUCGUCACGUUGGUGUAGAAUUUAAAAGCCGUGUCUGUGUCGUUGAAGGGUGGUAGAAUUGGCAUUAGGGGCUCUGAUGAUGGUAGCGCAUUGUCGUAAAUAACUGUGCCACGAGCUAUGUUGGUGUCGAAGUCAGGGAGAUUAACAACGUAAGGAGAGGCUACCAUGUAGUACGAACCAUUGGGUUGGUUCGCUGUGAAUAACACGUCAGCACUCUGGCCAGGGGCAAUAACGAUGAUGUCGGUGUCGUAGCGUUCGGUGUAUGAGGCAUCG
Vigna unguiculata (cowpea) is the source of this 799-nucleotide long non-coding RNA. RefSeq lists it as uncharacterized. The record is from RefSeq and is a predicted model, not a curated record. Lineage: Eukaryota; Viridiplantae; Streptophyta; Magnoliopsida; Fabales; Fabaceae.